This 538-nucleotide long non-coding RNA is filed under the name Glycine max (soybean). RNAcentral describes it as "long non-coding RNA (GMAX_LNC001564)". The record is from RNAcentral. Lineage: Eukaryota; Viridiplantae; Streptophyta; Magnoliopsida; Fabales; Fabaceae.
ACGAAGUUGACACUCAAAACCUUCCUUACAUUAGGGCCAUUGUGAAGGAGACAUUCCGAAUGCACCCACCACUCCCAGUGGUCAAAAGAAAGUGCACAGAAGAGUGUGAGAUUAAUGGGUAUGUGAUCCCAGAGGGAGCAUUGGUUCUUUUCAAUGUUUGGCAAGUAGGAAGGGACCCCAAAUACUGGGACAGACCAUCAGAAUUCCGUCCCGAGAGGUUCUUAGAAACUGGUGCUGAAGGGGAAGCAGGGCCUCUUGAUCUUAGGGGCCAGCAUUUCCAACUCCUCCCAUUUGGGUCUGGGAGGAGAAUGUGCCCUGGUGUCAAUUUGGCUACUUCAGGAAUGGCAACACUUCUUGCAUCUCUUAUCCAAUGCUUUGACCUGCAAGUGCUGGGCCCUCAAGGACAAAUAUUGAAAGGUGAUGAUGCCAAAGUUAGCAUGGAAGAGAGAGCUGGCCUCACAGUUCCAAGGGCACAUAGUCUCGUUUGUGUUCCACUUGCAAGGAUCGGCGUUGCAUCUAAACUCCUUUCUUAAUUAAG